CCAAACUUAAAGAUUGCAGUUUAUUGAUAAGCCUUCUAUGUGCAACAGUAUCAAAAGCCUUACUGAAAUCUAGGUAAUCAAUGUCUACUGCAAUACCCUGAUCUAUAAUUUUAGUUACCCAAUCAAAAAAAUCAACAAGAUUAGUUUGGCAUGAUCUCCCUGAAGUAAACCCAUGUUGUCUCUGAAAUCCAUGUGUUUUUAGAUGUUCAACAAUCCUAUCCUUUAACAUGGUUUCCAUCACUUUCCCCACUACUGAAGUAAGGCUUACUGGCCUAUAGUUGCCCGACUCCUCCCUAUUACCUUUCUUGUAAAUGGGCACAACAUUCGCUAAUUUCCAAUCUUCUGGGACUACUCUCCAUAAAAGUUGGAUAAGUGAUUUCAAUAAUGAUUCCUUAUGAUUAUUAUAUGCACUUAGAAGUAAGUCCAUUACAAAUCUCAAGUUAUAAUCUUUCCCACAGCAGUCAAUCAGAUCCACAGCUUAUUUGUCAAAGAAGAACUUUCACUUUUAACAUUUUAACACAAUCAGAUAGCAAACUAAAAGAGAGCUGUUGGUUGUGCCAAAAUGUAUUUUAACAUUAUUUAUACAAUUAUUUUUAUUUUAAUGUGCAUGUUUUUUCCAGAUAGUAUAUAAAUCAGUUUGUUACUGGAGUUACAAGAAAAAAAUGCCAAACGUGCAUGAGUAAUUUCUGUAUUUGAUUCCUGAGUAUGAAAGUACAAGUCCUGUAAGAUAUAGGGCUCAUUUUAAAAUUCUGGUUCUUGCUUUCAAAUCUCUACAUAAUGCUGCUCCCACCUAUCUAUCCUCCCUUAUACACAAGUAUGUCCCGUUUAGGCCCUUACGCUCUGCUGAAGACUUACGUCUAUCUUCUGUCCGUACUCCCACCUCUGAUGCUCGCCUUCAAGAUUUCUCGAGGGCUGCACCGUUCCUGUGGAACUCGCUUCCCUCCUCUGUUAGAUGUUCACCCAGUCUCCACUCCUUCAAAAAAUCGUUAAAAACCCACUUCUUUAUAAAAGUGUAUCAAUUAAAUUGUUAAUAGCUCCUGACUGAUUCCUCUUCUGCAACUGUCACUUGUCUAACACUAUCCUUAUCUUUUGUGUCACUUUACCCCACUUUCUCUAGCAUGUAAACUCACUGAGCAGGGCCCUCAAUCCCUCUGUUACUGUCACUAUACCCCACUCCCUCUAACAUGUAAACUCACUGAGCAGG
This is a non-coding RNA of Pelobates cultripes (western spadefoot toad), 1204 nucleotides long. The record is from the annotation of a GenBank genome assembly. Lineage: Eukaryota; Metazoa; Chordata; Amphibia; Anura; Pelobatidae.